RNAcentral lists this long non-coding RNA (2246 nucleotides) under Mus musculus (house mouse). Its description in RNAcentral is "RIKEN cDNA D630029K05 gene, transcript variant 1 (D630029K05Rik)". The record is from RNAcentral. Lineage: Eukaryota; Metazoa; Chordata; Mammalia; Rodentia; Muridae.
GUAGUUUUUCCAGUCAGUAGCUCUAACCAUGUCAGCAAUUAUCCUCUUCAGCAGCCGUCUGUGUAGACAACACAUUGAAGGAAGGUUCUAGAAACCUAGCAUAUACAAGACAGCCAAACAGGAGCAUGCAAAGCCAGGUAAGGACAGCUAGUGCGGCAUGAGAGCCUCAGGGAGGUCACUGUGAGCGGCUGCUACUACAGAUGCCCGGUCCCUCAGAGGAUACUGGACCACAGCCGACCUUAAAGGGGUUCUUGGUUAAAAAAAAAAAGUAUCCGUGUGUAUAAAUGUAUGGUACUCCAUACGGAAGAAGUCCUGAGAAGUUGUGUGAUGAAAUUUCACUUGCAUGAUAAAGCUAAGGAAACUGCACAAGGAAAGCCCCGUAGAGCAGCGGAGUGUGGAAUGCGCUCAGGUGGAAGCUGCCUGAUUAUCAGGACGUCUUACUCCAGGGGGAUGCUCAAGAUGGACUCCUUGUGCCUUGCAAGACUCUGCUCUUUUUAACAUUGUAAAAUAACACCUGCUCACUAUGGAAACUUUUUAAACACAGAGAAACAGUGAAACAAAUUUACCCACAGUCAUCAGCUCUCCUUGUUCAAUUGGCUUUUUUUUUUCCUGUGCUCCUCUUUUUUGCCGUGUUCCUGUUUUUCGCUGGGUUUGCCAGAACCUCAAACAAGCACCCAGCCUUCUUGUGUAUUUUUUCCCAAAAUAUUACUAUUCAAAUGACCUUUUUUUGACUUAGUUGGGGCGGGGUAUUCGUUAUGUUGCUGUUGAGACAAGGUCUCACUGUGUAACCCUGGCUGGCUGGCACUUGCUGUAUCAGGCUUAAACCGUGCUCCUCUUUCUUGCCAUGCUCCUCUUUCUUGCCGUGCUCCUCUUUCUUGCCGUGCUCCUCUUUCUUGCCGUGUUCCUCUUUCUUGCCAUGCUCCUCUUUCUUGCCGUGUUCCUCUUUCUUGCCAUGCUCCUCUUUCUUGCCAUGCUCUUCUUUCUUGCCGUGCUCUUCUUUCUUGCCGUGCUCCUCUUUCUUGCCGUGCUCCUCUUUCUUGCCGUGCUUCUCUUUCUUGUCGUACUCCUCUUUCUUGCCGUGCUUCUCUUUUUUUGCCGUGCUCCUCUUUUUUGCUGGGUUUUUCAGAACCUCAAACAAGCACCCAGCCUUCUUGUGUAUUUUUUCCCAAAAUAUUACUAUUCAGAUGACCUUUUUUUGACUUAGUUGGGGCAGGAUAUUCGUUUUAGUUUUAUGUUGCUGUUGAGACAAGGUUUCAUGUGUAACUCUGGCUGGCUGGAACUUGCUGUAUCAGGCUAAACUCAAACUCACAGAGCUCUGCCUGCCUCUGCCUCCAUGGCCCGGGAUUGAAAGCGUGCACCACAAUGCUUAUGAUCAUGAUGUGUAUGAAAUAUAUUCCAUUUCCUACUUGUUAGGAAACAUGCAUUUCCCCAUCCCAUGAUAAAUCAUUCCUAGGUAGAAUUUUAAAUAACUGUGCAUUAAUAAUUACAUGGGAGUUGUCUUAGUUACUUAACGGUUCCCAGUUUAGUGCAUGUAGUGUUUUUUAGCUCCAAAGAACUCACAGCAAGCAAUGGAAAGUCCUUACUGCACAAUUUCAUGCGAAAAUUUCUUUUGAUGGUUCAUUUUUAUCUCCUACACCUAGAUUCUCCAAACUAAAAUUCUCUUAUAAUCUUAGAACAUAAAGUGUUUGUUACAUAUUAAACGUUGGCCCUCCAACAGGUUCAGCUCAUAUAUAAUAACGUUCCUAUCCAGACUGGAUGCUUUCAGAUAAGCAGAGUAUAUAUCUGUAUACAUAUUUCUUGAUUUCUAGAGAAAUUGUCUAUUUCCCACAUAUUGGCUAAUGUACUCCACAAAUUGCUUUUUUCACAUAAUUUGUAAGCAGUAAUAGUUACCAGAGUAUACAUUAUACUUGUGAAAAAAAAUUGGAGGGAGGGAGGAAAGUCUAAGAGCAAAACAGGAACAAGGAUAUACUUUGCAAGUUCCUGGGACAAAACAGGAACCCUGCCAGAUGCCUGAGGGCUCCUGAAUGAGUGUUGGCCGGAGGUUCUAGGAGGGAGGAGACAGGAUAUCCAAUUGGCCCAGGUUGGACCUGAUGGGAAAUGUGGUAUCCUUGUGGUUCUGCCCUUUUUAAUUAAGCCUCUGCAAAAAGUGACUUGUGACCAGUUCCUGAGGACCUGGGAGUAAACACGGCCAGAGUCCACCAUCCUGGCCACUGUUUAAUUAAAGCUUGAUUCAAACUUGGCUCAAA